GAGAGAGGACUCACCUGAAGUGUCUCCUACCACUGAGAGCAUCCCUCCCUUUGCCUGAAGCCUCCAUCAGACCCAGCCCUCACUCUUCCUCCUAUCUCCUCCAACAAACUUACGCAGGCACAAACAUGGGAC
Molecule: long non-coding RNA, 132 nt
Filed under: Dasypus novemcinctus (nine-banded armadillo)
Lineage: Eukaryota; Metazoa; Chordata; Mammalia; Cingulata; Dasypodidae
Description: lncRNA (ENSDNOG00000051199.1)
Source: RNAcentral